RNAcentral lists this ribosomal RNA (253 nucleotides) under uncultured bacterium. RNAcentral's name for it is "partial 16S ribosomal RNA". It matches the Rfam family "Bacterial small subunit ribosomal RNA", at positions 524 to 776 of the family's 1533-position model. The record is from RNAcentral.
UACAGAGGUGGCAAGCGUUGUUCGGAAUUACUGGGCGUAAAGGGCGCGUAGGCGGGCAGGCAAGUCAGGGGUGAAAGCCCACGGCUCAACCGUGGAAGCGCCUUUGAUACUGCCGGUCUCGAGGGAGGUAGGGGCGUGCGGAACUUCCGGUGGAGCGGUGAAAUGCGUAGAUAUCGGAAGGAACACCGGUGGCGAAAGCGGCGCGCUGGACCUCUUCUGACGCUGAGGCGCGAAAGCCAGGGGAGCAAACGGG